Long non-coding RNA from Cebus imitator (Panamanian white-faced capuchin), 842 nucleotides. RefSeq lists it as uncharacterized. The transcript has 5 exons. Lineage: Eukaryota; Metazoa; Chordata; Mammalia; Primates; Cebidae. The record is from RefSeq and is a predicted model, not a curated record.
CACUGGCCCAGAAUCCCAGAGUAGCCCAGCCAGGAUUCAAACCCAGAACUCCAUAUGCCACGUGCGGCUCUCCCACAAAUCCACAGCUACAUCCCAGGCAUUCCUGGCUGACAAAUGUAGUUUGGGUGUUUUACCGUGGUCUUUAACCCACAAGACCCUAAGCUACAAUGUUCCCAGUUCCUUUCCUUCCCAGACUCUCAAGAAACCACUUGCCAAACUCCUACUUGCUAUAGAAUUGCUUGAGGAGAGAAUUUAAAACGCAGAUUCACAGAGUUCAUCCCCCAGGGAUUCGGACUUUGGAGGUCUGGGGACUGUGAUCCCUGGGGAGGGAGGGAGCUGGAAUUCCUGCUGAUGGAGAAGUGGCUGAGAUCUUAAGAAGCUAAGAGGAAGAAAAGAUUACAUCCUAGCCGCCUCUGAGACGCUGAGCUCCUGGGAGUGGGGUCUAAGUCAGGGUCAAUGCUUUUAGGUGACCAGAAGGCAAGGAUUUCCUAGUCCCUGGAAACCAGACACCCAUCCUCCAUUCAAACGAGUGAGGUGGAGCGUCCAUGUCAGAGGCUACACCUGCCGGGAGGCAGCUGCUCAGGUCUCCUCCACUCCUAGAACGCCAAACAAACCCAGUUUCAAACUCUGGUGCUACCACUAGCUGUGGAACAGCAAUGAAGUUAUAAAACCCCUCUCACCCUUGGCUCUAGUCAUUCCUUCAUUCAUUCAACAAUGACCGCACACCUGCUGCAUGCCAGGCACAGUUGCAGACCCUGAGAAUCCACAGGUGAAUGAAACAGACAUGAAUUCCUGCCCUAAUACAUUCUAACAGGGGUGGGGGUGCAGAUAAUAAACAGAAU